UCCUGUGUCCGCACCCAUCCCCAAGGGGAA
This 30-nucleotide small RNA is filed under the name Bombyx mori (domestic silkworm). Its description in RNAcentral is "ovarian small RNA-27990". The record is from RNAcentral. Lineage: Eukaryota; Metazoa; Arthropoda; Insecta; Lepidoptera; Bombycidae.